This 3245-nucleotide ribosomal RNA is filed under the name Dendrobium catenatum. RNAcentral describes it as "bacterial LSU rRNA". The stretch from base 488 to 3241 matches the Rfam family "Bacterial large subunit ribosomal RNA". The record is from RNAcentral. Lineage: Eukaryota; Viridiplantae; Streptophyta; Magnoliopsida; Asparagales; Orchidaceae.
ACUGAGAGAUCCGGGCGUUUCAUGAUUCCGGCGCCUCGGAUGGCACCCUUUCGCAGCUGCUGCUUGCAGUCCUGGCCGCCGCACCGGCAGACCACUGGUGUCUGCCACCUCUUCAGUCAGCGCACGCAGGGCAGCCCGCGAUUCCGCGUACGUCAGCCGCGAAGCGCCCUGGGCGGUCAGCCUCACGCGUGCGGUGGUUGUGGGCGACAGCACUCCGCGUCCAUGCGCUCGUUUAGUGGCGCGAGCGGCUGGGUGGUGCACGCCUGAUUGGGCGCACGGUCCAGUAGGUCGCCGCCUCCCUGGCUUACGCUGCUGCGCCCGAGUCGGCAUGGGGCUGCGGGAUCCCGUGUGAUCAGGUCUCACCGGCGCCCCUUGCCAGGCUAUACUCUGGGGUGCACGGCGUAGCUGCAAGUAGUCCCUAGGUGAGUUGGGCGGGUGCUCCCACGACACGCUCCCUCCGGGGAGUGCCACUAGUUGAUGACACGCGGUGAGCUCCCACGCUGCCGUGGGAGGACGACCUGUUGAUGCUCUGCACCGCGUGCCUGUUGGAACAUGCGCCGGCGCCUCCAUGGGUGGCUUCGGUUAACGCGGAUCCCGUAGGGCCGUCGCGCAGCGACGUCUUCCUACGGGCGCAUUGUCACUAGUGCUUCUGGACCCGCCUGCGGCUGAUCUCUCAUCGACCAUGGUGCGCUUGGGCUGACGCUCAGUGCGGUCGAGCGGGGCGACUGCUGUUGACACGCAUCAGCGGCUGAGUUGUGGUUCGGGGUGACCACUCCCCUCCCGCACCGCGCCGACAGCUAGGCUGGUUCUCCGUCCCUUGGUUGACGUGCGGGCCGCCGUUGCCUGGCACAUUAGGGGUCGGCCCUGUUUCGGUGGGCGGGCCGCGGAGCGGUCACCCGCCUCGCACGGGGCACCUCUGACAUAUCUCGACUCAUGGCCCCGCACACGGGUCGGUCGGCCAGUGAGCGCUGGGGGACUCAGGCUUCAAUCGUCGAGAGGGAGCCGCCCGGACUCACUCCCACGCUCAGGGCCCCUACAGUGCCCGGCAUCAGUGAUACAUGGAGGUGGGGUGCCGCGCAAGCAGGAGGAUUUCCUGACGGCGCCACCGCUUGACAGAGUGGACGUAUUCAAGUCACUCUGGAUCGGCGAUCUUGCGCGCGGAGUGCCGGGGGCUAAUCGGCCGAUCUGCCGAGCUGUGGGAUGUAAAAAUGCAUCGGUAAGGGAAAAAGGCGUUCGCUUAAGAGGAAGGCACGCACGCGCAAAGCAGGUGUGGUGGAGGCGAAGGCGGAAGCGGAAUGUCGCUGGAGUAUAGCGCAAACAUCUGGUGAGAAAUCCAAUGCCCCAUAUGCCCCGAAAACCUAAGGGUUUCGCUCCGCAAGUUCGGUUGCCACGGAGGUGAGUCAGGGGCUAAGAUCAGGCCGAAAGGCGUAGUCGAUUGGACAACAGGUGAAAUAUUUCGCUUGUACUUACCCGCUUUGUUGUUUACGGCGGUGAGGGGACGGAGGAGGCUAGGUUAGGCCGAACAGAUGGUUAUCGGUUCAAGGACGCAGGUGAGCGUUGGCUUUUUCAGGCGGUAAAGCAAGGGGUAAGAGGAAAUGCCUCGAGCCUAAUGUCCGACGUACGCUUGUAAGGACGCUACGGCGGCUGAGUAACCCAUGCAUACUUGCCCAGAAAAGCUCGAGCGACCUUCAAGCAAGAGGUGUACCUGUACCCGAAACGACAGCAGGUGGGUAGUGUAGGAGAAUAUCCUAGGGGCGGGCGUAGACAAACUCUCUCUAAGGUAAGCUCGCAAAAUGGCUCGGCCGUAACUUCGGGAGUAUAAGGAGGUGGCCUUCGCUUCAAAAAGGGGUUGUCGGCAGUGACGCUAGGCCGGAGCGACUGUUUCCGAAAAUACACAGGUCUCUGCUCACGCAAAAGUUCGUAAGACGCAUGUUAUAGUGGGGCUGACGGCCUGCCCAUGGCCGGAAAGGUCAAGGAUUUUGGUGGUACCGCUGAUGACAAGGGGAUGGCCGGCGAUCCCCCCGGAAGCCCCGGUGAAUCGGUCGGCCGUAAAAGCUAUAUCGGUCCUAAGGUAGCGAAAUUUCGCUUGUCGGAGUAAGUUCCGGACCGCGCACGAAAAGGGCGUAAGCGUCUCGGGGCAGCUGGUCUCGGAGAGUGGUGCAGGCUCGGUGAAUAGACAUGCUCUGUGAGAGAUGCGGAUAGCCUGGGCACUUGGAGGGCAGAAUAAAGACGCCUAAUGAAGCUUUACUGUUCUGGGCCUCGGGAUUGGCUUUGGGCCUUGUCCUGCGGCAGGGCUUAGUGGCAGGCGCGAAGAAGGCCUCCUUGGCGGGGGGGCCCGAGCCAUACAGUGGGCCAGAGCUAUCAGACCCUAUCUGGAAGAGGCUAGACAUUAUCUAAUCCUUCGUGUCAGAACGCUAGGGCGGCAAUGGACAGUCUCAGGUAGUAGCAGUUUCUAUGGGGCGAUAGGUCCUCGCCAAAAGAGUAACGAGGCGCGCAAGUAGGUUUCCUCGGGCCGGACGAUGAUUGGCCUCGAGUGCAGGGCUAGAGGGAGCUUGACUGCAAGCGCCACCGUUCGAGCAAGGGAGCGAAAGUCGCUUAGUUUUGAUGCCGUGACGGUGCGAGUAGAGGGCCGUCGCUCAACCGGAUAAAAGUUAUGUCUAUGGGAUAAAGCUGAUCUUCCCCAAUUGAAAAAGGCAGGGAAAAGGACGGCGAACGAGUUCAGCAUCGCAGCGGGAAGGUUUGUUUGGCACCUCGAUGUCGGCUCUUCGCCACCUGGGGCUGUAGUAUGUUCCAAGGGUUGGGCUGUUCGCCCAUUAAAGCGGUACGUGAGCUGGGUUCAGAACGUCGUGAGACAGUUCGGUCCAUAUCCGGUGCGGGCGUUAGAGCAUUGAGAGGACCUUUCCCUAGUACGAGAGGACCGGGAAGGACGCACCUCUGGUGUACCAGUUAUCGUGCCUACGGUAAACGCUGGGUAGCCAAGUGCGGAGCGGAUAACUGCUGAAAGCAUCUAAGUAGUAAGCCCACCCCAAGAUGAGUGCUCUCCUAUUCCGACUUCCCCAGAGCCUCCGGUACCACAGCCGAGACAGCGGCGGGUUCUCUACCCCUGUGGGGAUGGAGCGACAGAAGUAUUGAGAAUCCAAGAUAAGGUCACGACGAGAUGAGCCGUUUAUCAUUACGAUAGGUGUCAAGUGGAAGUGCAGUGAUGUAUGCAGCUGAGGCAUCCUAACAGACCGAGAGAUUUGAAC